RNAcentral lists this ribosomal RNA (495 nucleotides) under uncultured bacterium. RNAcentral's name for it is "partial 16S ribosomal RNA". It matches the Rfam family "Bacterial small subunit ribosomal RNA", at positions 28 to 507 of the family's 1533-position model. The record is from RNAcentral.
GACGAACGCUGGCGGCGUGCCUAAUACAUGCAAGUAGAACGCUGAAGGAGGAGCUUGCUUCUCUGGAUGAGUUGCGAACGGGUGAGUAACGCGUAGGUAACCUGCCUGGUAGCGGGGGAUAACUAUUGGAAACGAUAGCUAAUACCGCAUAAGAGUAGAUGUCGCAUUACAUUUGCUUAAAAGGUGCAAUUGCAUCACUACCAGAUGGACCUGCUUUGUAUUAGCUAGUUGGUGCGGUAACGGCUCACCAAGGCAACGAUACAUAGCCGACCUGAGAGGGUGAUCGGCCACACUGGGACUGAGACACGGCCCAGACUCCUACGGGAGGCAGCAGUAGGGAAGCUUCGGCAAUGGACGGAAGUCUGACCGAGCAACGCCGCGUGAGUGAAGAAGGUUUUCGGAUCGUAAAGCUCUGUUGUAAGAGAAGAACGAGUGUGAGAGUGGAAAGUUCACACUGUGACGGUAUCUUACCAGAAAGGGACGGCUAACUACGUG